Long non-coding RNA from Felis catus (domestic cat), 2519 nucleotides. RefSeq lists it as uncharacterized. The transcript is spliced from 5 exons. NCBI's taxonomy places the organism in Eukaryota, Metazoa, Chordata, Mammalia, Carnivora, Felidae. The record is from RefSeq and is a predicted model, not a curated record.
UUAUAGAUAAAUCAUUCCUUGAUGCAGGGAUAAAUAUAUAGAACACAAAAGGAUAACGGAGCUGCUUAGGUUCUAAGCACAUCUCGAUUGGAAAGAUCACACCUUUUUCGACAGGGUCGGAAGGCUGGAAGUACUUAGCAGGCUAUCCAUCCCACUCAAGGACAAAGGAAGUUGUAAGAAACCUUUGGAUAAUAACAGACAUGCAGUGAAGAUUCCUGUGAGAUUCCGGAUUGGGAGGAGGUGAGGCUCAGGGGUGUUGAUACCUCUGCAGGGACCAUCGCGCACAGGAGUCACAGGCAGACCAGCAAGCUCGGCCUGGAGCUCCCAGCUUAAGACAGUGAAGGCUGUGUGCAAAGCAGUGUAUAUUUUUUCUGUCCUGCACUCCCACUGACUAUAUUAUGCUCAUGGGGCUCUUCAAGUGGAGGAGACACGCAGCUAUGCUCACGGAUGGCAGGUCGGCCUAUAAAGCCAAGGUAGUGAGCAGGCAUUUGGGAGAAAAGAUUUUAAAAUUAGUGUCAGAUGUGGAAUUGUUACGCUGAAGUACAACAUCUCCACUUAGAUGUCAAUUCCAUUCACACUUCUACUUCUCAAAAUCCCACCAUUUAAGAAAUCUAUGAACACAAAUCUUAAAAACCUAAAGUCAUGGCCACAAAGCACACAUGUAAAACAAUGAACCUGUAUCGCUUUUAAAAUUUCACAAAUAUUUAUGUAGUACUUAUUAUGUGCCAGGUGCAAUUCUAGGUCAUUAUUAAGUAUUAAGGAGAAAGAAAAGCAGAAAUUGAGAACGGGUGUCCUUUCCCAAAGACAAUGGAGAGCAAUAAAAAAAAAAUGCCUUAAGAGCAUGUAUUUGCCUUAUGUAUUAAUUGGUAUCACACCUCUGGAAGAUAAGAAACACCUAGUCAUUAGUUGCCGCCCCCUUUCAGAUUUUCUGCUUGAGGUACAGCAAUCCAUAGUGAAACCUACUGCAGUCAGUGCUGAUUGAUGCUCAUGCAUGGAUUCAUAGGGUGCCCAGAUACACGGGUGGAGAGGGGGUACUGUCUCUUUCCUCUCUCCUCUCUGGUUCCCACUUACUUCCAGAGCUGCAGAUCCAAGCAGGAUGUGAGUGGCACAGUGGUGAAGAAGCCACACCACAGGAUUAGGAGUCUGGAGAAGUGGUUUCUAGUACUGUUCCUGCCACAAAUCUGCUAAGAACUCUUCAAGGAGUUCUGGUGUACCACGAGCUCUGCGGUACGAGGAGUGUGUCCCAAACAGAUUGGGAGCUUACCCACAUCAGCUAACUCUUUCUCAUUCAUAUUUGUAUCUCUAGUAACAAAGGAAGAAAGGGCAGGCACAAUUUCUCACACAGGGUAAAAUUUCCUCCUUCCUUUUUUCACCCUGCUUUCUUGAUGUAGAACCAGCUUUGUCUUCCAAGGGCGGAUAAUUCCCUGUGUUGUGACAACUAAUUCUUUUUAUUGUUAGAGAAAUCAAUGCAAAUAUAUCAUCAGCCUGUGGCACCAUGACUAACACCCCCAUUUAAAUAUGGUGAUUGAAACUUUUUUCAACAUUCUGUUAAGUAAUUUUCCUAAAAUGACCUCCACUUCUUAAAAGUGGCAAAUAGAUUUUGUCAGCGGGUAUUUUAGUCAUUUCAUAGUUGAAAUCACUUCUGAUACUUGCUAAUUGUACGAAAACAUAUUUGGUACUCUGUUAACUGCCAGCAACUGAUUGGCUCUGGAGAGUAGGAUCUGAAAGUACUAAGUACUGUCAAAGGUAGAAAAGUUUUUGAAGUCUUGCAGGUAAAAGAUGCAAAGUAUCAGCGAAAAGAGAAAAACCUUUUCUGAUAGGAAUCUACAGUGAGAAUGUUCAGGGUACUGUUUUAGGGACAUCCAUGUUGAUGAGUUAUCAUUAAAUGCCGCCAUCCCCGGCUGGCUAUGGGAACGUAGGCCAGCUACUUCACCCCAGAGCCUCAGUUGUUUUACCUAGAAACCGAAUCUAGGCUGAGAUGGGCUGCUUGGGCUCUGCAACUCUCCAGUGUCAAGAUCUUGAAAAUGGUACUCAAGUAACCUGAAGGAUUGCAAAAAUCACGAAUCUUCUCUUCAAAGGAAUAAUUGAGCAUGUCUGAACCGCAACCUGAACUCAGAUUUUCUACAACAUCUAUUUGUUUCGUGCGGGUCAACUGUAAGAUUGUUCAAAAUUUUGUCGUGGCUUAAAAAAUACCCUACUGCAUUUACGGAAGAAAAUGUUGGUAGACAUAUUGGUCAUUGAGAAGAAUUGCCAACAAUGAGAAACGGGACCAUUUUUACCCCUCCAGAGGUAGGUGAUUAUAAAUUGCAUAAAGGCCUACUAAUAACCUUGUUUUCUCUUCUGACUUUCAAUGUCUUUUGGUGCUUUAUUUCCCUCACUGAAAAUUUCUCAUCCAGGCAAAUUAUUUUUUCUUGCCAGAUAAGGAAAUUUGACCCAAGUCGUUGUAAAAUGUGCAUUUCUCACUAAAUAGUCCCUGUAAUAUUGUAAAUUUAUAUAACUAUAUAUCAAAAAUUGUAGAU